GGGAAGUCCAGUCCUAGACCCCACUCUCCUCCAGGCUCAGACUUGGGACUCUGUACCUGGGAGGCGCGCCGCGCGGCUGGGACCCGCCUCCCGGGUGCUGGAGCRACCCCGCCCUCCCGGGCCAAGUCCCUGCGCUAGGCGGCCGCGGCUCCGGAGCUGGAGCCGGCGAGCAGGUGGGGGCGGCGGCCCCGCCUCCGCGUCCCGGCAGCACCAGAGCUGACGGCCGGGGAGCCAGCGGGGCACACCGAGCGCGCAGCACCGAGCGCCGCGCGGCCUCAGCGGCGUCUCCUGGAGCACGGGCGCUGCGGGACGGAGCCCAGAGCGGGGAGGCGGCGGGGACGGCGGCCCCACCUCGAGUCCAGACCCGUCCAGGGCACGGCCAUCUGCAGAGCAGAAACCCCUCUCUUGGGACCACUCAUAAACAAGAGACACCAACAGUGCCAUGCCAGUGCCGCCGCCGCCCCCACCUCCUCUGCCUCCACCUCCCCCACCUCUGGGAGCUCCUCCCCCGCCUCUGGGAGCUCCUCCCCCUCCCCCACCAUCAGCACCUCCGGUGUAAAGAACAGUAUCAGACUCACCUACAGCCUGCAGCCCCCGUGAAAAGCUCCUAAUUCUGCUUUACCUACAGAUAAGAGAA
Molecule: long non-coding RNA, 637 nt
Filed under: Urocitellus parryii (Arctic ground squirrel)
Lineage: Eukaryota; Metazoa; Chordata; Mammalia; Rodentia; Sciuridae
Description: lncRNA (ENSUPAG00010007161.1)
Source: RNAcentral